GCCCUUAAGAGUUUGAUCCUGGCUCAGGAUUAACGCUGGCGGCGUGCUUAAUACAUGCAAGUCGAACGGAAAUCUUUUAGAUUUUAGUGGCGAACGGGUGAGUAACACGUAAGCAACCUGCCUUUAAGACGAGAAUAACAAUUGGAAACAGUUGCUAAGGCUGGAUAGGAAAUAAAAAGGCAUCUUUUUAUUUUUAAAAGACCUUUUUCGGAAGGUAUGCUUAAAGAGGGGCUUGCGUCACAUUAGUUAGUUGGUAGGGUAAAGGCCUACCAAGACGAUGAUGUGUAGCUGGACUGAGAGGUUGAACAGCCACAUUGGGACUGAGACACGGCCCAAACUCCUACGGGAGGCAGCAGUAGGGAAUUUUCGGCAAUGGAGGAAACUCUGACCGAGCAACGCCGCGUGAACGACGAAGUACUUCGGUAUGUAAAGUUCUUUUAUUGAAGAAGAAACAAUAGUGGAAAAACUAUCUUGACGUUAUUCAAUGAAUAAGCCCCGGCUAACUAUGUGCCAGCAGCCGCGGUAAUACAUAGGGGGCGAGCGUUAUCCGGAAUUAUUGGGCGUAAAGGGUGCGUAGGCGGUUUAAUAAGUCUCUAGUUUAAUUUCAACGCUUAACGUUGUCCUGCUAGAGAAACUGUUUAACUAGAGUGAGAUAGAGGUAAGCGGAAUUCCAUGUGUAGCGGUAAAAUGUGUAAAUAUAUGGAGGAACACCAGAGGCGUAGGCGGCUUACUGGGUCUUUACUGACGCUGAUGCACGAAAGCGUGGGGAGCAAACAGGAUUAGAUACCCUGGUAGUCCACGCCGUANACUAUGAGUACUAAGUGUCGGGGUUAAACUCGGUACUGAAGUUACACAUUAAGUACUCCGCCUGAGUAGUACGUACGCAAGUAUGAAACUUAAGGAAUUGACGGGAUCCGCACAGCGGUGGAUCAUGUUGUUUAUUCGAGAUACCGAAAAA
Molecule: ribosomal RNA, 958 nt
Filed under: Coconut lethal yellowing phytoplasma
Lineage: Bacteria; Bacillati; Mycoplasmatota; Mollicutes; Acholeplasmatales; Acholeplasmataceae
Description: bacterial SSU rRNA
Rfam family: Bacterial small subunit ribosomal RNA
Source: RNAcentral